AUUGCUAUCGGAGUCCGAUUUAGCCAUGCUAGUUGUGCGGGUUCAGGCCCGCAGCGGAAAGCUCAGUAACACGUGGCCAAGCUACCCUGUGGAUGGGAACAAUCUCGGGAAACUGAGGCUAAUUCCCAAUAACGCUCGACCCAUGGAAUGGGUCGAGCCGGAAACGCUCCGGCGCCACAGGAUGCGGCUGCGGCCGAUUAGGUAGACGGUGGGGUAACGGCCCACCGUGCCCAUAAUCGGUACGGGUUGUGAGAGCAAGAGCCCGGAGACGGAAUCUGAGACAAGAUUCCGGGCCCUACGGGGCGCAGCAGGCGCGAAACCUUUACACUGUACGCAAGUGCGAUAAGGGGACUCCGAGUGUGAAGGCAUAGAGCCUUCACUUUUGUACACCGUAAGGUGGUGUACGAAUAAGGGCUGGGCAAGACCGGUGCCAGCCGCCGCGGUAAUACCGGCAGCCCGAGUGAUGGCCGAUAUUAUUGGGCCUAAAGCGUCCGUAGUUGGCUGGACAAGUCCGUUGGGAAAUCUGCUCGCUUAACGAGCAGGCGUCCAGCGGAAACUGUUCGGCUUGGGACCGGAAGACCUGAGGGGUACGUCCGGGGUAGGAGUGAAAUCCCGUAAUCCUGGACGGACCACCGGUGGCGAAAGCGCCUCAGGAGGACGGAUCCGACAGUGAGGGACGAAAGCUAGGGUCUCGAACCGGAUUAGAUACCCGGGUAGUCCUAGCUGUAAACGAUGCCCGCUAGGUGUGGCGCAGGCUACGAGCCUGCGCUGUGCCGUAGGGAAGCCGAGAAGCGGGCCGCCUGGGAAGUACGUCUGCAAGGAUGAAACUUAAAGGAAUUGGCGGGGGAGCACUACAACCGGAGGAGCCUGCGGU
This 874-nucleotide ribosomal RNA is filed under the name uncultured haloarchaeon. Its description in RNAcentral is "bacterial SSU rRNA". It matches the Rfam family "Archaeal small subunit ribosomal RNA", at positions 26 to 901 of the family's 1478-position model. Lineage: Archaea; Methanobacteriati; Methanobacteriota; Halobacteria; Halobacteriales; Halobacteriaceae. The record is from RNAcentral.